Molossus molossus (Pallas's mastiff bat) is the source of this 269-nucleotide long non-coding RNA. RefSeq lists it as uncharacterized. The record is from RefSeq and is a predicted model, not a curated record. The transcript has 3 exons. Lineage: Eukaryota; Metazoa; Chordata; Mammalia; Chiroptera; Molossidae.
CGCUGGUGGUGGAGUGUCUGCAGCCCCCUCCUGUGCAGGCAGGAGACCCCACUUGGCUGACUGAUGUUUGACUGUUGGAGAUUUAUCUUGCGCAAGAAAACUGGAAGCAAGGACUGUUCUUCCCCAAGAGUAUCCAAUGAGGCCCAAACGGAAGAAAGUGAUCAUCAGAUUGAUGUAUCGGACGUCAUCCGGCUUGUUCAAGUGUUUACUGUUUUCGACUGAAUUCACACGGAGCAGGACUAUAAACAGCAGUCUGCGUCAGAGCUGGG